UCUGACGGAAGUCUGGCUGAUAGGAGCCCAUGGGACAGCGGAUACAGCGAUGGAUGCUGGUGUUGUAGUAGUGCCCUGGGGAGCACUGAACUGCAGGACCGAGGAUGGGGCAGUACAGCUGGUGUGACACUCAUCCCAGGCUGGGCAGAAGUUGGACAGAGCUGCCCACCUCUGCAGGACAGCGUUCCUCAGAGCAGAAGAGUGGCUGAGGAUCAGAGAGGAAGGGAGCUCACUUGAAGCUGGCUGGUGAGAACGUGGCAGAACCAGCCAAACUCCGGUCUGCUGAACCCAGCGCUAUGCAGAGGCUGGUGCUGAUGCUGGGUAGCGCACUAACAUGGUCUGUCCCUCUCCAGCCACACUGCAGUCAGCUUUCCAAAUCUGGUUGAAUUGUCUCCCCGAAGCUCGUCUUGGUGAGGCCUGUUCCUGGUGAGCCCCUGGGCCUGGGGAUCUCAGUCUCCCGUUUGCAGCUACUACUGAACCGCACUUUGAAGCUGUCUUGUGUAACAUGUUCGACUUCUCAUUUGGCUGAGCUCUUGUUGAAGAAGGGACCCUAAGACUGUUUGACUGAAAUCUUCUGAAACAAACUAGCCUGAGGCACAGAGUAGGGAAACAGGGCCCCAAAUCAUACCCAGCACUUCCUCCCUUUGACGGUUCACUCUUCAAAGCUCCCUCUCAGCAUACCUGCCAACCCGGAAUGAGUCUUUGUAGUGACUUCAUGGCACAGUCAGGC
This is a long non-coding RNA of Nannospalax galili (Upper Galilee mountains blind mole rat), 730 nucleotides long. RefSeq lists it as uncharacterized. The record is from RefSeq and is a predicted model, not a curated record. The transcript is spliced from 4 exons. Lineage: Eukaryota; Metazoa; Chordata; Mammalia; Rodentia; Spalacidae.